AACGGGUGCGUAACACGUGAGCAACCUACCGAAAUGAGGGGGGAUAGCCGUCCCAACGGACGGGUAAUACCGCAUACGCUCUUGUCCAGGCAUUUGGAUAAGAGGAAACCUCCGGGGCAUUUCGAGGGGCUCGCGGCCUAUCAGCUAGUUGGUGAGGUAACGGCUCACCAAGGCGACGACGGGUAGCUGGUCUGAGAGGAUGGCCAGCCACAUUGGGACUGAGAUACGGCCCAG
RNAcentral lists this ribosomal RNA (234 nucleotides) under uncultured bacterium. Its description in RNAcentral is "partial 16S ribosomal RNA". It matches the Rfam family "Bacterial small subunit ribosomal RNA", at positions 101 to 334 of the family's 1533-position model. The record is from RNAcentral.